GAUGAACGCUGGCGGCGUGCCUAAUACAUGCAAGUCGAGCGGACGGACGAGAAGCUUGCUGCUCUGAUGUUAGCGGAGGACGGGUGAGAAACACGUGGAUAACCUACCUAUAAGAGUGGGAUAACUUCGGGAAACCGUAGCUAAUACCGGAUAAUAUUUUGAACCGCAGGGUUCAAAAGUGAAAGACGGUCUUGCUGACACUUAUAGAUGGAACCGCGCUGCAUUAGCUAGUUGGUAAGGUAACGGCUUACCAAGGCAACGAUUCGUAGCCGACCUGAGGGGGUGGUCGCCCACCCUGGAGCUUGGUCGCCGUCCAGGCUCCUACGGUAGGCAGCAGUAGGGUAUCUUCCGCAAUGGUCGAAAGCCUGACGGAGCGGCGCCGCGUGUGUUAUGGCGGUCUUCCGUGCGUAAUGCUCUGUUAUUGGUGAAGAACAUAUGUGUACGUAACUGUGCACAUCUUGACGGUACCUAAUCAGAAAGCCCCGGCUAACUACGUG
This 497-nucleotide ribosomal RNA is filed under the name uncultured bacterium. RNAcentral describes it as "partial 16S ribosomal RNA". It matches the Rfam family "Bacterial small subunit ribosomal RNA", at positions 28 to 507 of the family's 1533-position model. The record is from RNAcentral.